GUAAUUAUUAUGUUUUUUCAGACGCUGAUUUCAAUUGCAAGGGUUUAAAUUGUCAACGGCGGGCGGACCCGCCGAAGAAACGUAAGUACUUAAAAGACAUGGGUAAGAGAUAGCAGGCAAAGCCUACAACUCUAGGUAAUGAUCCUUCCGCAGGUUCACCUACGGAAA
Molecule: unclassified non-coding RNA, 168 nt
Filed under: uncultured fungus
Lineage: Eukaryota; Fungi
Description: sequence contains ITS1
Source: RNAcentral